CCUACGGGGGACUGCAGUGAGGAAUAUUGGUCAAUGGGCGAGAGCCUGAACCAGCCAAGUCGCGUGAGGGAGUACUGCCCUAUGGGUUGUAAACCUCUUUUGUCGGGGAGCAAAAGCCGGACGUGUCCGGCUGUGAGAGUACCCGAAGAAAAAGCAUCGGCUAACUCCGUGCCAGCAGCCGCGGUAAUACGGAGGAUGCGAGCGUUAUCCGGAUUUAUUGGGGUUAAAGGGUGCGCAGGCGGAUUUUUAAGUCAGCGGUCAAAUCGUGGGGCUCAACCCCAUCCAGCCGUUGAAACUGGGGAUCUAGAGUGUGCGAGAGGUAGGCGGAAUGCGUGGUGUAGCGGUGAAAUGCAUAGAUAUCACGCAGAACCCCGAUUGCGAAGGCAGCAUACCGGUGCACAACUGACGCUCAGGCACGAAAGCGUGGGUAUCGAACAGGAUUAGAUACCCUUGUAGUC
This 458-nucleotide ribosomal RNA is filed under the name uncultured bacterium. Its description in RNAcentral is "partial 16S ribosomal RNA". It matches the Rfam family "Bacterial small subunit ribosomal RNA", at positions 338 to 795 of the family's 1533-position model. The record is from RNAcentral.